RNAcentral lists this unclassified non-coding RNA (4322 nucleotides) under Leishmania donovani. Its description in RNAcentral is "gene:LdHU3.32.4500(CDS-product:Lipase_(class_3)_p utative)". The record is from RNAcentral. Lineage: Eukaryota; Euglenozoa; Kinetoplastea; Trypanosomatida; Trypanosomatidae.
GUGCCCACACCCGCAUCACAUGGGUGUUGCGACAUCUCUCUCCCUCUUCUUCUAUCCAUCCUGGCCACCCCAUAUCUUCUUGCAGCAUCACGGUGUGCUGCCGUUACACAAUCACAGACACGCGUUCACAGCCGCUGAGGGGCGUGCUUUUCCAAGACAUCAGGAGCAUGAAAAACGGACUAUCGCGCUCCACAUUUGAAUUGCAUUCUUUUAUGUCUGCUGCUGUUUCCUCCAUCCUUCGAGUUGCCAGCAGGGCUAUUCGUUUGGCUGCAUAGACACAGAAGGUUCAACUUCCCCUCCUCUCCUCCCUCAUUCACGAGUAGCAGCAUCGGUCGUAGUCGUACCCAGCGGGUGGUGACUGACAUACCUGCGUUGGGCUACUGACCGUGCCCCCCCAAAAAAAACAAAAGAAACAACCGCCGGCACCACGGCCCCAACACAGCCACUCUUUUGUCGUUUUUUUUCGCUUAUUUUAGUUUCUCUCUGCAGUGCCUCUGCGUGCGUGACGUCCUCGUGUUGACAGCAGCAGGCGCACUCACAGAUACGCCGCUCUCUUUCAUUUUCCUGUCGCUUUCCUCCUCCCUUCUUUGGGCACCUUUGCGGGUGCCUCUGACAGCGUUGUUCUUCGCUCGUUGGCCUCUCUUUAUCCCACGUAUACAUACACACAAGCUUAUUUGAGAUUUACGGUGGCAGAAGCGAGAAGUGCUGCUACGGACUGCGUUGUGUGUGGCCGACAUCAUUGCUGCCAUUUUGUGUGUGUGCUUGUGUGUGCUUGGUGCGCGUCCUCUUGUGCUGUUGACUCCUGUGGAUCACCUCAUCUUCUUUUGGUUGAGUCUCUCCUGAUCUUCGCCGGUUUAGUGUCACACUCUUCUCGUUACCUCUCCUUUUCUUGUUUUCCUUUGUAACCCGUUAACGGCCCUAACUAACAGACAGGCUUCGGUCGUGCCAUUACAGGCGUGGCCCGGCGGGUGGAGGGUGUGCGCGCGGACCGUAUCAGCGUAUUGCACCGUCAACGCUCAUGCAAUCAGAGCCAUCGAUCCCCUCUUUGGUCACCACCCCGCCGCCGCACAUACCUGUAUAUAGCGCAAACUGAAGGCAGUAGAGCGUACCCCCGCAGGCGAUUCUGCACUCUCUCUCUUCGGCGCCUUCGCUUCUGUUUCAAGGAAAUUUGCUUGGCUUUCCUAAAGUUCCGCAUCACGCACUCCGGCACACUCGACCGCGCAGCAGGGACCAGCGAUGCUGCGGCACCUGCGCAUGGCCCCAGCCACCAAGAGGCCGCCCAGGUUGGAGGGGCAGCUUUUUGGUAUGAUCCAGGAGUGGUGUCGGCCUCUCUACCGCUACCGCAUUCCGCACAUCUCGACACCUCGUGACCGCGUGUGCACAUGCGCCUACCCGCUCUACACCCUGCGCUCCUCUCGACGCUCCCUGUAUGACGAGCCAACGGUGUACGCGUCUGCACACGAGGCCAUUUAUGUGACCGGUGCUGGCGCGCCAUCCACCAGCGACGCCCCCGCGUCCUCUUGGACGUUGUCUGGGUGCUCCUCGCCUGUCUACACGUCGACCACGACCACCGCAAAAGGCGGCGCCGCGGCCUUGUCCUUCCUUUCUUCACUUGGACGGCUGCCAUCCCUGCGUGCCCGCUGGGCUGUGCGGCGACGAGGGUCACGCCAGGCUGCUGUCCCCCCGACCACCCCUUUAGCACCACCCCCGCAGUCGUCCGAGGCGUGCUAUCGGUGCAACAUAUGCGAUGGCCUACAGGGCCACGCAGAGGCGAGCGACGGCGCGCUGACAAAUUCUAGCGGAUCCACUGACACUGGUGCCGCAUCGACAGAGCAUGCAACCACGAUGGCCACCACAUCGUCAGCCGAGUGGAAUGAGGAGGAUGAAGGCGAGGCGACCACUGGCAUCGCUGCGGCUUCACCUGACAGCAGCGCGGACGAGCGCUACGGUUACACCAUCUCCACUGGCAUCGCCAACACUGCCAUGGAGGGCGCCAAGGUGGCGGAGCUGCGGCACCUGGACCCGUUCCACGUCGAGGUCUUCGGAAGGCCAUCGUGGUCGGCGCUAACGAAGCGCAUCGCGCGGGAGGUGCAGGCACAGCUCACCCGAUGCGGACUGCGCAAGCGAGACGUCUCGCGUUACGCCACUCAGGCAGCCCUCAACAGUGAGAUGAGUCGCCAGACGUACAAGUUGUGGGUGCGUCGAGGGUCGCGCCGCAUUCGUGAAAGGCAGCUGCAGUUGGCAACGCCUGCCGGUGCCACUGGCUCGCCUUCGCCGAAGUCCCAGCUCACCGUUGCGCCGUCCGAGCAGGUGAUAAUCAAGGGCAAGCUGGACACGCUCCACACAGCCUGCUACCUCGCCCGCUACGCGAUGGCCGCCUACGGUUUGCCCUUUGAGCUCAACUACUUUUCGAGCUUGCGUGAGCUGUCGAAGCUCAUGGCAGAGCCUCACCGGCGCUACGUCUGCGCUAACUCUGAGGAGCAACUAGAGUCGAUGCGCCGCAUGCUGCAGGGCGAGGAGCCGAACGCGUUGCUUGAGUGCGUGGCAAGUCGCUACUCGCUUCGCGUAGGCCAAUCUUGCUGGGCCCUCUUCCUCGACCACGCUACGAACCGAGUCGUGCUCACCUUCCGCGGCUCGCUGACGCCGGCAGACAUCGUGGUGGAUGUGACAGAGGGCUACGCCAACGUCGUGCUGGAGCGCGCCCCUGUGGAUGGGGCAGCGGCGGCCACCGGCAUGGACACGUCGCAGCGACUGUGCACAGCGAUUCCGCUCGGCUUCUACGAGUCCGUCGUCGAGGCGGGUGCCCAGUUGCUUCCUCUCCUGCGUACCAUCCACAGCCAAUACAGCACCUACCAGCUCUGCAUCACCGGACACUCUCUGGGCGGUGUCCAGGCCUCUCUCUUUCACCUUCUGUACUGCGGGCCGUGGCGCGCGGCGCUGCACUCGUCAACGACGCUGCUGCGCCGCGCGAAGGCGCUCACAUGCCCCUCCUCACUGCCUUCGGCGCGGCCUCCUUCCUCUGCAGCCAUCGCAUCCGCUGACACAGCGACGACCACGGCCAGCACUGCGGCGCAUGUGCCUUUUACCAAGACGGUGACUUGCACAUUUGGUGCCGCCCCAGUCGUGGAGCGGCGCGUCGCUCCACUGCUGAAUGCAUGGCUGCACGAGGAGGAGCAGCACUCUGGAAGUCGUCUUGUGGCCUUCAGCAACGGCAUGGACGUUGUUUCCCGGCUACAGUUGCGGUCGCUUCAGGACGCCUUUCUGCAGCAAUACGCGCGGCCGACGGAGGAGAGUCUGUCUAGCGGCGACGGGGCUGCCGUCGAUGACACUGGACCUGCGGUCGCAGGGGUCUCCGACCAAUCUGUACCCCUGCUCGCCAUUCCUGGCUCGUUGUACAACAUGACAUCCGGGACGCGCCGCCGCCAUCUCCUUGCCGUUCCGCUCACUGCCACCGCGGUGCGUGAGCAGGUGGUCCUCAUCCCCGAAGCGGCUUUGCAUCACUACCCCUCGCUCUAUCUGCGCAGCCUGAACGAGCUGCUGCGUCGGUAUAGGGUCAAGUGGCAGUCCAUCUGCGACGAUGCCACGACGAUACCGACCGCCACUGCCACCGCGGCAGCCGUAGCACUGUCAACAGAAAGCCCCUUACGCGAGAGCCGAGGCGGGUGAUGGCGUGUAUGCGCGCUGAGGGGAGAGGGCUGGCCGGUCUCCGAGGCACACAGGCCCGCACCCUUACCUCGCCUCUUUCCUUUGCAGCUUUGCUGCCGCCGUGCGUCGUCGCCGUCUCCCCCCUCCCCCCCACCAUCGCCACCAUUAUCCUCACCACCACCUCUCUCUGCGGGCGUAUUCGGCCCACGUUUUCUUCAUUGUAUUGUCCGCCCCGUUUUCUUUUUCGUUUACCCUCUUCCCCCGUCAUCUUCGUCGUCCUCUCCCUGUCUGUGAGUCUGUUUCUGUGUGCGUGUGUGUGUGCCUCGUGCUCACCGCCACCUCCACCGCCUUCUGUUUAUCGUUGUGUAUAUACUCUCUCGCCCCCUCUCACUCUCGCACUCGCCCUCCCCCACCAUCUCGGGCCUUUCACCACCACAGCAACGCAGUCCAAACGUCGUGCGAAGCAGAGUGAGAGAACAAGGUGUGUGUGUGUGUGUAUGUGCGUCCAUGUCGGAGAGAGGGGGUGGGGUGGUGAGGGUUGCGAUACGAAGUUGUGAGCAUUGGGCAGACACGUGCGCUCCUCCCCGAGCGGGACGUGGGCGUGCGCUAGUAAGGGAGUGGGGAGACCGUAGACACCGGGAGUACACAGCGACGAGGUGCCGUGCCAUCGCAGCAAC